RNAcentral lists this ribosomal RNA (446 nucleotides) under uncultured bacterium. RNAcentral's name for it is "partial 16S ribosomal RNA". It matches the Rfam family "Bacterial small subunit ribosomal RNA", at positions 338 to 795 of the family's 1533-position model. The record is from RNAcentral.
CCUACGGGCGGCAGCAGUCGAGAAUCAUUCACAAUGGGGGAAACCCUGAUGGUGCGACGCCACGUGGGGGAAUGAAGGUCUUCGGAUUGUAAACCCCUGUCAUGUGGGAGCAAAUUAAAAAGAUAGUACCACACGAGGAAGAGACGGCUAACUCUGUGCCAGCAGCCGCGGUAAUACAGAGGUCUCAAGCGUUGUUCGGAAUCACUGGGCGUAAAGCGUGCGUAGGCUGUUUCGUAAGUCGUGUGUGAAAGGCGCGGGCUCAACCCGCGGACGGCACAUGAUACUGCGAGACUAGAGUAAUGGAGGGGGAACCGGAAUUCUCGGUGUAGCAGUGAAAUGCGUAGAUAUCGAGAGGAACACUCGUGGCGAAGGCGGGUUCCUGGACAUUAACUGACGCUGAGGCACGAAGGCCAGGGGAGCGAAAGGGAUUAGAUACCCCGGUAGUC